AUGGCGGCCGCCGGAGAGCGGCGCCUCCUCGUCGGCCUCCUCCUCCUGGCCCUGGUGGUGUCGGCGCACUGCCUCGACGGGGGCCACCACGGCCCGCGCAUGAAGCGGCGCCGCAAGAAGCGCGAGAUCCACUCCCCCGUCAAGACGGUGGUGGUGGUGGUCAUGGAGAACCGCAGCUUCGACCACGUCCUCGGCUGGCUCCGCGCCGGCCGCCCCGACAUCGACGGGCUCACCGGCACGGAGUCCAACCGCCUCAACGCGUCCGACCCGGCCUCCCCGGAGAUCUUCGUCACCGACAAGGCCGGCUACGUCGACUCGGACCCCGGCCACGGCUUCGAGGACAUCCGCGAGCAGAUCUUCGGCUCCGCCGACACCUCGGCCGUCCCGCCCCCCAUGUCCGGGUUCGCGCAGAACGCGCGCGGCAUGGGCCUCGGCAUGGCCCAGAACGUCAUGAGCGGCUUCGCGCCCGACUCGGUCCCCGUCUACGCCGCCCUCGCCGACGAGUUCGCCGUCUUCGACCGCUGGUUCGCCUCCGUGCCCACCUCCACCCAGCCCAACCGCCUCUUCGUCCACUCCGCCACCUCCCACGGCCUCACCUUCAACGCCCGCAAGGACCUCAUCAACGGCUUCCCGCAGAAGACCAUCUUCGACAGCCUCGAGGAGGAUGGCCUCUCCUUCGGCAUCUACUACCAGAACAUCCCGGCCACGCUCUUCUACCAGAGCCUCCGCCGCCUCAAGCACCUCGUCAAGUUCCACCAGUACAGCCUCAAGUUCAAGCUCGACGCCUCGCGGGGCAAGCUGCCCAACUACGUCGUCAUUGAGCAGAGGUACUUCGAUUGCAAGGAGUUCCCUGCCAACGACGACCACCCGUCGCACGACGUCGCCAGGGGCCAGAGGUUUGUUAAGGAGGUCUAUGAGACGCUGCGAGCCAGCCCGCAGUGGAACGAGACGGCUCUCAUCAUCACCUAUGAUGAGCAUGGUGGCUUCUAUGACCAUGUCCCCACGCCCGUCGUCGGGGUGCCCCAGCCCGACGGGAUUGUUGGUCCUGACCCUUACUACUUCAAAUUCGACCGACUUGGGGUGCGCGUGCCCAGCUUCCUCAUCUCCCCCUGGAUUGAGAAGGGCACUGCGAUCCAUGAACCAAAUGGUCCAUUUGAAAACUCACGAUAUGAGCAUUCAUCCAUUCCUGCAACCGUAAAGAAGCUAUUUAAUUUACGUGCUAACUACCUGACAAAGAGGGAUGCAUGGGCCGGGACCUUUGAGAACUACCUCAAAGUUCGAAAGACGCCAAGAACUGACUGUCCAGAGAAACUCCCAGAGGUUACAAAGUCUCUGCGACCAUUUGGUGCUAAUGAAGAUAAAUCUCUAUCUGAGUUUCAAGUGGAGUUGAUUCAACUCGCCUCUCAGCUCAACGGUGACCAUGUACUCAACAGCUAUCCGGAUAUUGGCAAGACAAUGAGUGUAGGAGAAGCAAACCGUUACGCAGAGGAUGCUGUCUCCAGAUUCCUGGAAGCCGGAAGAAGUGCUCUUAGGGCAGGCGCAAAUGAAUCUGCUCUGGUGACAAUGAGGCCCGCACUUACCAGCAGAGCCGCAAUGUCCACUGGCUUGUCAUCAGAGCUUUGA
Molecule: ribosomal RNA, 1623 nt
Filed under: Triticum aestivum (bread wheat)
Lineage: Eukaryota; Viridiplantae; Streptophyta; Magnoliopsida; Poales; Poaceae
Description: partial small subunit ribosomal RNA
Source: RNAcentral